This 776-nucleotide ribosomal RNA is filed under the name uncultured bacterium. RNAcentral's name for it is "bacterial SSU rRNA". It matches the Rfam family "Bacterial small subunit ribosomal RNA", at positions 8 to 796 of the family's 1533-position model. The record is from RNAcentral.
AGAGUUUGAUCCUGGCUCAGGAUGAACGCUAGCGGCAGGCCUAAUACAUGCAAGUCGAACGGAGCAGCAAUGCUUAGUGGCGCACGGGUGCGUAACGCGUAUGCAACCUACCUAUCAGUGGGGAAUAGCCCGGGGAAACCCGGAUUAAUACCGCAUAAGAUCAAAGAGUGGCAUCACUUUUGCUGAAACAUUUAUGGCUGACAGAUGGGCAUGCGUUAGAUUAGCUAGUUGGUAGUGUAAGGGACUACCAAGGCAAUGAUCUAUAGGGGUUCUGAGAGGAAGAUCCCCCACACUGGUACUGAGAUACGGACCAGACUCCUACGGGAGGCAGCAGUAGGGAAUAUUGGGCAAUGCCCGCAAGGGUGACCCAGCCAUGCCGCGUGCAGGAAGAAGGCCUUCUGGGUUGUAAACUGCUUUUGGAAGGGAACAGAACGGCUCUGCGGAGCAACUUGAGUGUACCUUCAGAAUAAGCACCGGCUAACUCCGUGCCAGCAGCCGCGGUAAUACGGAGGGUGCAAGCGUUGUCCGGAUUUAUUGGGUUUAAAGGGUGCGUAGGCGGCUUGUUAAGUCAGAGGUGAAAGACUGCAGCUCAACUGUAGCAGUGCCUUUGAUACUGAUGAGCUUGAGUAUAGAUGAGGCCGGCGGAAUUUAUGGUGUAGCGGUGAAAUGCUAGAUACCAUAAAGAACACCGAUUGCGAAGGCAGCCGGCUAAACUACAACUGACGCUGAGGCACGAAAGCGUGGGGAUCGAACAGGAUUAGAUACCCUAGUAGUCC